GGUAGUCCACGCCGUAAACGAUGUCGACUCGGAGGUUGUGCCCUUGAGGCGUGGCUUCCGGAGCUAACGCGUUAAGUCGACCGCCUGGGGAGUACGGCCGCAAGGUUAAAACUCAAAUGAACUGACGGGGGCCCGCACAAGCGGUGGAGCAUGUGGUUUAAUUCGAUGCAACGCGAAGAACCUUACCUACUCUCGACAUCCAGAGAACUUAGCAGAGAUGCUUUGGUGCCUUCGGGAACUCUGAGACGGGUGCUGCAUGGCUGUCGUCAGCUCGUGUUGUGAAAUGUUGGGUUAAGUCCCGCAACGAGCGCAACCCUUAUCCCUUGUUGCCAGCGGUUAGGCCGGGAACUCAAAGGAGACUGCCAGUGAUAAACUGGAGGAAGGUGGGGAUGACGUCAAGUCAUCAUGGCCCUUACGAGUAGGGCUACACACGUGCUACAAUGGCGCAUACAAAGAGAAGCGACCUCGCGAGAGCAAGCGGACCUCAUAAAGUGCGUCGUAGUCCGGAUUGGAGUCUGCAACUCGACUCCAUGAAGUCGGAAUCGCUAGUAAUCGUAGAUCAGAAUGCUACGGUGGAUACGUUCCCGGGCCUUGUACACACCGCCCGUCACACCAUGGGAGUGGGUUGCAAAAGAAGUAGGUAGCUUAACCUUCGGGAGGGCGCUUACCACUUUGUGAUUCAUGACUGGGGUGAAGUCGUAACAAGGUAACCGUAGGGGAACCUGC
RNAcentral lists this ribosomal RNA (726 nucleotides) under uncultured bacterium. RNAcentral's name for it is "bacterial SSU rRNA". It matches the Rfam family "Bacterial small subunit ribosomal RNA", at positions 789 to 1515 of the family's 1533-position model. The record is from RNAcentral.